GUUGACGUAGCUUAUUAAUACACUAAAGCACGGCCCUGAAGCUGCCACGAUGGGGUGUCAACCCCCGACAACA
RNAcentral lists this transfer RNA (73 nucleotides) under Quedenfeldtia moerens. RNAcentral's name for it is "tRNA-Phe". Lineage: Eukaryota; Metazoa; Chordata; Lepidosauria; Squamata; Sphaerodactylidae. The record is from RNAcentral.